UUUAUUUUAGUUUAUUUCAAAAUAUUAGUUUUGCACCCUAAAGAAUUUAAUCCAAGCAUAGUUUAAGUAUAAAA
RNAcentral lists this transfer RNA (74 nucleotides) under Gnathostomula paradoxa. Its description in RNAcentral is "tRNA-Ala". The record is from RNAcentral. Lineage: Eukaryota; Metazoa; Gnathostomulida; Bursovaginoidea; Gnathostomulidae.